CGACUAAGCGUACACGGUGGAUGCCCUGGCAGUCAGAGGCGAUGAAGGACGUGCUAAUCUGCGAAAAGCGUCGGUAAGGUGAUAUGAACCGUUACAGCCGGCGAUGUCCGAAUGGGGAAACCCAGUGUGAUUCGUCACACUAUCGUUAACUGAAUACAUAGGUUAACGAGGCGAACCGGGGGAACUGAAACAUCUAAGUACCCCGAGGAAAAGAAAUCAACC
RNAcentral lists this ribosomal RNA (222 nucleotides) under Klebsiella pneumoniae. RNAcentral's name for it is "partial 23S ribosomal RNA". It matches the Rfam family "Bacterial large subunit ribosomal RNA", at positions 1 to 230 of the family's 2925-position model. The record is from RNAcentral. RNAcentral also lists the same sequence under 1 other name. Lineage: Bacteria; Pseudomonadati; Pseudomonadota; Gammaproteobacteria; Enterobacterales; Enterobacteriaceae.